This 740-nucleotide ribosomal RNA is filed under the name uncultured archaeon. RNAcentral's name for it is "bacterial SSU rRNA". It matches the Rfam family "Archaeal small subunit ribosomal RNA", at positions 1 to 750 of the family's 1478-position model. The record is from RNAcentral.
UUCCGGUUGAUCCUGCCGGACCCGACUGCUAUCGGAGUGGGACUAAGCCAUGCGAGUCGACGUAGCAAUGCGUGGCGAACGGCUCAGUAACACGUAGUCAACAUGCCCAGGGGACGUGGAUAACCUCGGGAAACUGAGAAUAAACCACGAUAGGUCACGAUUUCUGGAAUGGAUCAUGGCCUAAAUCUACAUGGCCCCUGGAUUGGACUGCGGCCGAUCAGGCAGUUGGUGAGGUAAUGGCCCACCAAACCUAUAACCGGUACGGGCUCUGAGAGGAGAAGCCCGGAGAUGGGCACUGAGACAAGGGCCCAGGCCCUAUGGGGCGCAGCAGGCGCGAAACCUCUGCAAUAGGCGAAAGCCUGACAGGGUUACUCUGAGUGAUUUCCGCUAAGGGGAUCUUUUGGCACCUCUAAAAAUGGUGCAGAAUAAGGGGUGGGCAAGUCUGGUGUCAGCCGCCGCGGUAAUACCAGCACCCCGAGUGGUCGGGACGAUUAUUGGGCCUAAAGCAUCCGUAGCCGGUUCUGCAAGUCUUCCGUUAAAUCCAGCCGCUCAACGGAUGGGCCGCGGAGGAUACUACAGGACUAGGAGGCGGGAGAGGCAAGCGGUACUCAGUGGGUAGGGGUAAAAUCCUUUGAUCCAUUGAAGACCACCAGUGGCGAAGGCGGCUUGCCAGAACGCGCUCGACGGUGAGGGAUGAAAGCUGGGGGAGCAAACCGGAUUAGAUACCCGGGUAGUCCCAG